This 433-nucleotide ribosomal RNA is filed under the name uncultured bacterium. Its description in RNAcentral is "partial 16S ribosomal RNA". It matches the Rfam family "Bacterial small subunit ribosomal RNA", at positions 29 to 507 of the family's 1533-position model. The record is from RNAcentral.
AACGAACGCUGGCGGCAUGCCUAACACAUGCAAGUCGAACGAAGGCUUCGGCCUUAGUGGCGCACGGGUGCGUAACGCGUGGGAAUCUGCCCUUAGGUUCGGAAUAACAGUUAGAAAUGACUGCUAAUACCGGAUGAUGACGUAAGUCCAAAGAUUUAUCGCCUGAGGAUGAGCCCGCGUAGGAUUAGCUAGUUGGUGUGGUAAAGGCGCACCAAGGCGACGGUCCUUAGCUGGUAUGAGAGGAUGAUCAGCCACACUGGGGCUGGGACACGGCCCAGACUCCUACGGGUUGCAGCAGUGGGGUGUAUUGGACAAGGGGCGCAAGCCUGAUCCUGCAAUGCCGCGUGAGUGAUGAAUGCCUUAGGGUUGUAAAGCUCUUUUAGCCGUGAUGCUAAUGACAGUAGCGGUAGAAUAAGCCCCGGCUAACUACGUG